CCGCCACCAACGGGGCACCCGCGCUGGGCACAGAAGCUGUUUGGGAAUCAAGCUCUAUAACAGUAUUUCUGUGCAAUGAAUGCCAUGACUGGAAAGCAAAAACUGGGAACUGUUCCUUCUGUGAGUACCCCAGAGGUUACACAGAUCACAAGCAUCUCAGUAUUCACUGAUGAACUGUUUCCCUGGGAAAAGCCCUGAUAUGUCGCUUGGCUUCUGUAGCUGCCCUUGACUUAGCUCUCGUCACCUGUGCCGCAGCGGCAGGGCGAGGGCGGGCACGGCGGGGAAUGGCCGCGAGUUCAUCUCCUCAGCAGCCAGCAGGGGAAGCUGCUGCAUCGGUUUUCAGUGCAACUCACGAAUAGAAUUUCUGGUUAUUUUUAUAUCCACGGAU
Molecule: long non-coding RNA, 388 nt
Organism: Passer domesticus (house sparrow)
Lineage: Eukaryota; Metazoa; Chordata; Aves; Passeriformes; Passeridae
Exons: 3
Source: RefSeq, a predicted model, not a curated record